This 253-nucleotide ribosomal RNA is filed under the name uncultured bacterium. RNAcentral's name for it is "partial 16S ribosomal RNA". It matches the Rfam family "Bacterial small subunit ribosomal RNA", at positions 524 to 776 of the family's 1533-position model. The record is from RNAcentral.
UACGUAGGCAGCGAGCGUUGUUCGGAGUUACUGGGCGUAAAGCGUGCGUAGGCGGUGUCUUAAGUUUGUUGUGAAAUCUCCCGGCUUAACCGGGAGGGUGCGGCGAAUACUGAGAUGCUGGAGUACGGGAGAGGUAAGCGGAAUUCCUGGUGUAGCGGUGAAAUGCGUAGAUAUCAGGAAGAACAUCGGUGGCGAAGGCGCUCUGCUGGACCAUAACUGACACUCAGGGACGAAAGCUAGGGGAGCGAAUGGG